GAUGAACGCUGGCGGCGUGCCUAAUACAUGCAAGUCGAGCGAACGGACGAGAAGCUUGCUUCUCUGAUGUUAGCGGCGGACGGGUGAGUAACACGUGGAUAACCUACCUAUAAGACUGGGAUAACUUCGGGAAACCGGAGCUAAUACCGGAUAAUAUUUUGAACCGCAUGGUUCAAAAGUGAAAGACGGUCUUGCUGUCACUUAUAGAUGGAUCCGCGCUGCAUUAGCUAGUUGGUAAGGUAACGGCUUACCAAGGCAACGAUGCAUAGCCGACCUGAGAGGGUGAUCGGCCACACUGGAACUGAGACACGGUCCAGACUCCUACGGGAGGCAGCAGUAGGGAAUCUUCCGCAAAGGGCGAAAGCCUGACGGAGCAACGCCGCGUGAGUGAUGAAGAUCUUCGGAUCGUAAAACUCUGUUAUUAGGGAAGAACAUAUGUGUAAGUAACUGUGCACAUCUUGACGGUACCUAAUCAGAAAGCCACGGCUAACUACGUG
This 497-nucleotide ribosomal RNA is filed under the name uncultured bacterium. RNAcentral describes it as "partial 16S ribosomal RNA". It matches the Rfam family "Bacterial small subunit ribosomal RNA", at positions 28 to 507 of the family's 1533-position model. The record is from RNAcentral.